Molecule: ribosomal RNA, 253 nt
Filed under: uncultured bacterium
Lineage: Bacteria
Description: partial 16S ribosomal RNA
Rfam family: Bacterial small subunit ribosomal RNA
Source: RNAcentral
UACAGAGGUCUCAAGCGUUGUUCGGAUUCAUUGGGCGUAAAGGGUGUGUAGGUGGCGCCGUAAGUCGGGUGUGAAAUUUCGGAGCUUAACUCCGAAACUGCAUUCGAUACUGCCGUGCUUGAGGACUGGAGAGGAGACUGGAAUUUACGGUGUAGCGGUGAAAUGCGUAGAUAUCGUAAGGAAGACCAGUGGCGAAGGCGGGGCUCUGGACAGUUCCUGACGCUGAGGCACGAAGGCCAGGGGAGCAAACGGG